UGGGAAGAUAUUGCGCAAUGGGCGAAAGCCUGACGCAGCGACGCCGCGUGAGGGAUGAAGGUCUUCGGGUUGUAAACUUCUGUCGUACGGGACGAUAAUGACGGUACCGUACAAGAAAGCCACGGCUAACUACGUGCCAGCAGCCGCGGUAAAACGUAGGUGGCAAGCGUUGUCCGCAAUUACUGGGUGUAAAGGGAGCGCAGGCGGACUAGCAAGUUGGAAGUGAAAUCUAUGGGCUCAACCCAUAAAUUAGCUUUCAAAACUGCCGGUCUUGAGUAGUGCAGAGGUAGGCGGAAUUCCCGGUGUAGCGGUGGAAUGCGUAGAUAUCGGGAGGAACACCAGUGGCGAAGGCGGCCUACUGGGCACCAACUGACGCUGAGGCUCGAAAGUAUGGGUAGCAAACAGGAUUAGAUACC
Molecule: ribosomal RNA, 416 nt
Filed under: uncultured bacterium
Lineage: Bacteria
Description: bacterial SSU rRNA
Rfam family: Bacterial small subunit ribosomal RNA
Source: RNAcentral